UACGUAGGGGGCAAGCGUUGUCCGGAAUCAUUGGGCGUAAAGAGCGCGUAGGCGGUCCGGUAAGUCCGCUCUGAAAGUCCGGGGCUCAACCCUUGAAAGCCGGCCGAUACUGUCGGACUAGAGUCCGGAAGAGGCGAGUGGAAUUCCCGGUGUAGCGGUGAAAUGCGCAGAUAUCGGGAGGAACACCAAUGGCGAAGGCAGCUCGCUGGGACGGUACUGACGCUGAGGCGCGAAAGCGUGGGGAGCAAACAGG
RNAcentral lists this ribosomal RNA (253 nucleotides) under uncultured bacterium. RNAcentral's name for it is "partial 16S ribosomal RNA". It matches the Rfam family "Bacterial small subunit ribosomal RNA", at positions 524 to 776 of the family's 1533-position model. The record is from RNAcentral.